UGAUAGCUAUAAUUAAUUGAUCGCACUUACACAAGUGGGUACAAUUGUGAAUCCCAAUAACAGCGAAGAGUUCAUGGCUGAUCUUGGUGGACAGAGAAGAGAAGGAAGAAGAGCAAGGGCAGGUGUGUGAUGUAAAUACUCAGUCACGUGGGGGGGACAGUACAGCGUGAGAGGAGGCUGAGUGGAUGAUCUUGGAGAGCGCCGUGUUGCAGCAGCCGUACGUGGGCUCUUGGAGUGAGAUAACGCACAGUGGGGCAUAGCCUUGAGAGUUGAUUUUGCCGAUGAUGAAGCUGUCACCGUUAGAGAGCAACUUACAGCAGGCAACUGUGAGCCAGGAGACAGGGCAGAUGGAGGAUGUGGCAGACUCAUUAGGACCAUGGCAGAUGGAGGCUGGGAGGAACUGGUUUGAGGGGGGAACUCAUUCAUGUACUGGAUGUCCAAGCUGUUCACAGGUGGCCUGGGGGAAACAACCUGUGAGGCAGGAGGACAGCCAUCUCGGUCAGGAAGGACAGGGGAAGGUGGAGUGUUGCCUGUACUUGCAGCUGGGGGUAGUGUCUACAUCCAGGUUUUCUACUCUUCACAAGGGCCAAAGGUUCUCAGGUGGAGGGGGUAGAGCAGACUUGGUUCUUGGGUUUCACCCCAAGGCUGAGCCAAACCUCCCCCAGAGUCGAAAAUCCAGAAGGGUAGAUUGGUUCAUCUCCCGACCACGGGAUGGUGUCAUGGACUGAGGAUGAAGGGUCAGGGGAGCAGGGCUGGCUGGCACAACCUGGCUUUCCUAGAAGGGAGAGAUGCUUAGCCUGGGCUGUGGCUACAGUUGAAAACUCCAGGAUUAACCUGUCCUUCUCCCUGAGUUCAGCCUGCAAGCGAGCAACGUCUUCCUUCACUUGUGAAAAGGAUGUGGAUUUAAGAGGAGCGGGACACACGAGGAGGAAAGCGCUCCCAACCCUGGACGCCAGAGAGAGACCUCCACGAGACGCAAACUGCUCCAGACAGCCUUUUUGGUGGGGAAGGUGGGAGAUACGACUGGGGGGACACUGACAUUGUGGCUCAGCCAGCACCCGGGAAGAAGACACUAGCCUGGGCUUUUGUGUAGGAGGGGAUGCUUUGGAGGAACGAAGAGGGGUAGGGAUGCGUCCCGCCCUCUAUAGUAGGCCAGUACGGCUAAAUACACGCUGAUAAGCAGAGCAUGUAAAUAUCCAGGAAGGAAUUUGAGGCAAUAAGCGAAGGUGUACUUCCCUAACUGCAAUCAAAUUAUUCAUUACUUAGGACUGUUGCACUCCCCCACCGCCUUGCAGACUGCGCUUGAGGCUCCCUUCAGAAAUCCACAAGCUGCAUGGGAUUUAUGGACAUUUGGGCGGACUGAGUCAACACAGAGUGAACUGUUAUCUGCUGUAUCCAGAGUUUUAUUGUUUUAUUGUUCUGUUGUUUAACUUAAUAAAUUGUAUGGUUGA
This is a long non-coding RNA of Siniperca chuatsi (mandarin fish), 1451 nucleotides long. RefSeq lists it as uncharacterized. NCBI's taxonomy places the organism in Eukaryota, Metazoa, Chordata, Actinopteri, Centrarchiformes, Sinipercidae. The transcript is spliced from 2 exons. The record is from RefSeq and is a predicted model, not a curated record.